This 77-nucleotide transfer RNA is filed under the name Candidatus Thorarchaeota archaeon. RNAcentral's name for it is "tRNA-Pro". It matches the Rfam family "tRNA". Rfam says of the family: Transfer RNA (tRNA) molecules are approximately 80 nucleotides in length. Their secondary structure includes four short double-helical elements and three loops (D, anti-codon, and T loops). The record is from RNAcentral. Lineage: Archaea; Promethearchaeati; Candidatus Thorarchaeota.
GGGUCGGUGGUCUAGCUUGGCAUGACGCUUGGUUUGGGUCCAAGAGGUCGUGAGUUCAAAUCUCACCCGGCCCACCA